AUCGCUUCUCGGCCUUUUGGCUAAGAUCAAGUGUAGUAUCUGUUCUUAUCAGUUUAAUAUUUGUUAUUAACCAAAGGCCUUGACCUAGCUAGCACAGUGCCUACACAUCAU
RNAcentral lists this small nuclear RNA (111 nucleotides) under Panthera leo (lion). RNAcentral's name for it is "U2 spliceosomal RNA (ENSPLOG00000007698.1)". It matches the Rfam family "U2 spliceosomal RNA". Rfam says of the family: U2 is a small nuclear RNA (snRNA) component of the spliceosome (involved in pre-mRNA splicing). Complementary binding between U2 snRNA (in an area lying towards the 5' end but 3' to hairpin I) and the branchpoint sequence (BPS) of the intron results the bulging out of an unpaired adenosine, on the BPS, which initiates a nucleophilic attack at the intronic 5' splice site, thus starting the first of two transesterification reactions that mediate splicing. Lineage: Eukaryota; Metazoa; Chordata; Mammalia; Carnivora; Felidae. The record is from RNAcentral.